ACAUGCCUACAACAUAGUGUUAGUGCACUGGAUCCCAUUAGAACUCCGCAGUUAAGCGCGCUCAAGCUAGAGUAGUAUUGGGAUGGGUGACCACCUAGGAAGUCCUAGUAUUUUACAUGCC
Non-coding RNA from Picea glauca (white spruce), 121 nucleotides. The record is from Rfam. NCBI's taxonomy places the organism in Eukaryota, Viridiplantae, Streptophyta, Pinopsida, Pinales, Pinaceae.